AGGAUGAACGCUGGCGGCGUGCUUAACACAUGCAAGUCGAACGGUGAAGCAGGAGCUUGCUCCUGUGGAUCAGUGGCGAACGGGUGAGUAACACGUGAGAAAUCUGCCCUGGACUCUGGGAUAAGCGUUGGAAACGACGUCUAAUACCGGAUACGAGCUUCAGCCGCAUGGCUAGGAGCUGGAAAGAACUUCGGUCCAGGAUGAUCUCGCGGCCUAUCAGCUAGUUGGUGAGGUAACGGCCCACCAAGGCGACGACGGGUAGCCGGCCUGAGAGGGUGACCGGCCACACUGGGACUGAGACACGGCCCAGACUCCGUACGGGAGCAGCAGUGGGGAAUAUGCACAU
RNAcentral lists this ribosomal RNA (346 nucleotides) under uncultured soil bacterium. Its description in RNAcentral is "bacterial SSU rRNA". It matches the Rfam family "Bacterial small subunit ribosomal RNA", at positions 26 to 371 of the family's 1533-position model. The record is from RNAcentral.